RNAcentral lists this ribosomal RNA (349 nucleotides) under uncultured bacterium. RNAcentral's name for it is "bacterial SSU rRNA". It matches the Rfam family "Bacterial small subunit ribosomal RNA", at positions 917 to 1269 of the family's 1533-position model. The record is from RNAcentral.
GGGCCCGCACAAGCAGCGGAGCGUGUUGCUUAAUUCGAUGCAACGCGAAGAACCUUACCUAUACUUGACAUACUUGGAAUGCUUUGUAAUGAAGCAGUGCCUUCGGGAGCCAGGAUACAGGUGCUGCAUGGCUGUCGUCAGCUCGUGUCGUGAGAUGUUCCGUUAAGUCGGAUAACGAGCGCAACCCUUACCCUUAUUUGCCAGCGAUUCGGUCGGGAACUAUAAGGGGACUGCCGUGAUAAACCGGAGAAGGUGAGGACGACGUCAAGUCAUCAUGGCCCUUACGUAUAGGGCUACACACGUGCUACAAUGGGGAAUACAGACGGACGCUAAGCCGCGAGGUGGUGCU